This 120-nucleotide ribosomal RNA is filed under the name uncultured bacterium. RNAcentral's name for it is "partial 16S ribosomal RNA". It matches the Rfam family "Bacterial small subunit ribosomal RNA", at positions 796 to 914 of the family's 1533-position model. The record is from RNAcentral.
CUGGCCGUAAACGAUGGAUACUAGGUGUAAGUGGUAUCGACCCCACUUGUGCCGCAGCUAACGCAUUAAGUAUCCCGCCUGGGGAGUACGGCCGCAAGGUUGAAACUCAAAGGAAUUGAC